UACGUAGGGGCGCGAGCGUUGUCCGGAAUUAUUGGGCGUAAAGAGCUCGUAGGCGGCCUGUUGCGUCCGCUGUGAAAUCCCAGGGCUCAACCCUGGGCGUGCAGUGGAUACGGGCAGGCUAGAGGUAGGUAGGGGAGAAUGGAAUUCCCGGUGUAGCGGUGAAAUGCGCAGAUAUCGGGAGGAACACCGGUGGCGAAGGCGAAUCCCCUGGACCUGUACUGACGCUCUGCACGAAAGGCGUGGGGAGCAAACAGG
This 255-nucleotide ribosomal RNA is filed under the name uncultured bacterium. RNAcentral describes it as "partial 16S ribosomal RNA". It matches the Rfam family "Bacterial small subunit ribosomal RNA", at positions 524 to 776 of the family's 1533-position model. The record is from RNAcentral.